Molecule: non-coding RNA, 89 nt
Organism: Fomitiporia mediterranea MF3/22
Lineage: Eukaryota; Fungi; Basidiomycota; Agaricomycetes; Hymenochaetales; Hymenochaetaceae
Source: the annotation of a RefSeq genome assembly
UCGGAUAUGGUGUAACGGCUAACAUUGCCGCCUCUCAUUCCCCAGUCUUCAGUACGCGGCAGCUUGGGGUUCGAUUCCCCGUAUCCGAA